GGAUUCCAGAAAACUGCUACGAUUGUCUGAAUGUGUGUCCCUCACAUAGGAUUCCAGAACACUGCUACGAGGGUCUGCAUAUUUGUCCUUAAAGUAGGAUUGCAGAACACUGUUAUAAUUGUCGGAAAGUUUGUCCCUCACAUAGGAUUCCAGAACACUUCUACGAGGGUCUGAAUGUUUGUCCCUCACAUAGGAUUGCAAAACACUGAAGCUGUGUUCCGAGUGUUUGUCCCUCAUAUAGGGACCCAGAAAAAUGCUGCUGGGUUCUGAGUGUUUGUCCCUCACACAGGAUUCCAGAACACUGCUACUAGUGUCUGAAUGUUUGUCCCUCACAUAACACUCCAGAACACUGCUGCUGGGGUCUCAAUGUUUGUCAGUCACACAGGAUUCCAGAACACUGCUACGAUAGCCUGA
Molecule: long non-coding RNA, 414 nt
Filed under: Homo sapiens (human)
Lineage: Eukaryota; Metazoa; Chordata; Mammalia; Primates; Hominidae
Description: HSALNT0149501
Source: RNAcentral